UACGGGGGGGCAAGCGUUGUUCGGAAUUACUGGGCGUAAAGGGCUCGUAGGUGGCCAACUAAGUCAGACGUGAAAUCCCUCAGCUUAACUGGGGAACUGCGUCUGAUACUGGAUGGCUUGAGUUUGGGAGAGGGACGCGGAAUUCCAGGUGUAGCGGUGAAAUGCGUAGAUAUCUGGAGGAACACCGGUGGCGAAGGCGGCGUCCUGGACCAACACUGACACUGAUGAGCGAAAGCCAGGGGAGCAAACGGG
Molecule: ribosomal RNA, 252 nt
Filed under: uncultured bacterium
Lineage: Bacteria
Description: partial 16S ribosomal RNA
Rfam family: Bacterial small subunit ribosomal RNA
Source: RNAcentral